Molecule: ribosomal RNA, 488 nt
Filed under: uncultured bacterium
Lineage: Bacteria
Description: partial 16S ribosomal RNA
Rfam family: Bacterial small subunit ribosomal RNA
Source: RNAcentral
GACGAACGCUGGCGGCGUGCUUAACACAUGCAAGUCGAACGGAAAGGCCCUGCUUUUGUGGGGUGCUCGAGUGGCGAACGGGUGAGUAACACGUGAGUAACCUGCCCUUGACUUUGGGAUAACUUCAGGAAACUGGGGCUAAUACCGGAUAGGAGCUCCUGCUGCAUGGUGGGGGUUGGAAAGUUUCGGCGGUUGGGGAUGGACUCGCGGCUUAUCAGCUUGUUGGUGGGGUAGUGGCUUACCAAGGCUUUGACGGGUAGCCGGCCUGAGAGGGUGACCGGCGGCAUUAGGACUUAGAUACGGCCAAGACUCCUACGAGAGGGAGCAGUGGGGAAUAUGGCGCAAUGGGCGGAAGUCUGAUGCAGCGACGGCGAGUGAGUGAAGAAAGUCUUCGGAUCGUAAAACUCUGUUAUGAGGGAAGAACAAAUGUGUAAGUAAAUAUGCACGUCUUGACGGUACCUAAUCAGAAAGCCACGGCUAACUACGUG